GCAGUGGAGGAGGGGCUCCCUGCGAAGGUCCACGCGGACGGGGAGCCCAAGGCCGGGGUUAGGCGCCGGCGGAAGGGGGUUGGGAGGCACUGGGUUCCCGAGGCCCGGGCCAGCGUCCUGAGGGGCAUUCAGGAUCCUUGGCAGGGCCCUCCUGUCCAAGAGGUCCCUGCAGACGGCAUGAAAGGGCCCCCCUUCGGCAGGGCCACCAAGCCCCUGGAGAGCAGGCCUCUGGGGGACACCCUUCGGGGCUUCUGCACGUCCGAGGACAGUGACAUCAACAUCACCAGCGGGGAAGAGGAUCACAAGGAGUCGCCUUUCCCAGGCUCCUGCAACCCCAAAGAGAAGGAGAACAGUGGCCGUGGCACCCGGGCCCUCCCGGACAGCCGGGCGGCACCACCAGAGGGCCUUUGCUGCUACAUCUGCGGGUCCCCGCUGUCCCCGGCCUCGCACCACCAGGUCCACGUGCAGAAGCAGGAGAAGCUGGCGCAGGCCCCGUUCUUCCCCUUCCUGUGGCUGCACAGCCCGCCCCCAGGGGCACAGCCCAUCAGCGAGGGCGGCAGCACCCUGGUGUGCGCCAGCUGCUUCUCCUCCCUCACGCAGCAGUGGCAGAGCUUCGAGCUGGCCAACGUGCCGGUCCUGCAGCGACUCUACGUGGUGCCCCUGGAAAGCCACGCCCCCGGCAUGGCCUCCAAGGGCAGGAGACUCCCCAGGGAAGAGGGCCUGCCCCCUGGGGCCCUGCGAGAGGCUUGCUACCUCUGCGGGGAGGACUGUACCCCGGAUGCCCGGGCGGUGCCCUCCAGGAUCCUCAACGGCAACGCCAGGAGCGCCAUGCAUUUCCCCUUCCUCAGCCUCCUGCCCUGCCCGCCCAACGCCCAGGGCCCCAACAAGCGCUGCGAGGUCCGCAGCUGCCCCAAGUGCUUCAGCGUCCUGGAGGACGUCUGGGCCCUGUACCGGGCCUGCCAGAAGGAGGAGCUCAUCACCUCCGUGCAGGGCUUCCUGGGCAGGUACCACCAGGCCUUCUCCGCCUCCGACCCUGCCCUCUCCGAGCUGCCCACAUCAGCCCAGGGAGGCCCCGUGUCCAUCUGCUACAUCUGUGGGGCUGAGCUGGGCCCCGGGAAGGAGUUCCAGCUCAACGUGAACCCUGCCAGUCGCCUGGGCGAGAAGGAGCCGUUCUUCCCCUUCCUCACCGUGUAUCCGCCCGCCCCUCGUGCCAGGCCUGUGGACUCCACCGGGCUGGUGGCCACCUGUGUGCUCUGCUACCAUGACCUGCUGGCCCAGUGGCUGCAGCACGAGGCCCGCAGCGCCCAUCACGCUGUCAGCGCCUGGUCCCGGCAGUACCACGUAGAGACAUUCGUGUGCUUCUUUUGUCAGCAGGAGAAGAAACGGUGUCUGGGGCUGAAGUCUGUGCGGGUGGCCCGGCUGCCCCUGUUCCUAUACACCCUUCGAGCAAGCCACAGCCUGCUGGUGGAUGACGGACAGCAGCUGAUCAUCGGCGCUUGUAUGGAGUGUGGGACCCUGGUGUGUGCGGGCCAAGGGCUCACCCGCCAGGGACCCGUGAGCUGGAGCUCCCCGGUGGCAACAGCAACGAAGAGGUGCGUUGGCUUAGCUGCGAAAAGAGACACAUUCGUUCUCCGAGAAGCCUGCUCCGCUGACGGCUGGGUGAUGUGCCGUUUUUCUCCUGUUGGACGCGCCGUGGGCCGGAACACCGACUUUGUGCUUCCUCCUUUUUUUUUCUCUCUGAAGUCUAAGUUUGGGAGCUCAGGAUCCAAAAACGAUGACACUGGGACAUUCCAUUCGGAAGGCACGCUUUGUCCACUCGGCCACUUGCAGUGGGGAAUGGUUUUGAGCAGGGGUGUGAUGUGACCGGCAGACCCCUGUGUGGAGACCGAGGUGGCUUCCGGAGGCUGGUGGCUGGGAGAGCAGGGAGGAGGCUGCUGCAGUGGUCUGAGCACCAGUGACGGGACGGCGUGGAUGGCCACUGUGGGAUACAGAGGACAAGGGGCACAUGCGAGACUCCUAGGCCGGAAGAUGAUGCGGCCACCAGCCCCUGCCUGUCUUUGCUCUCUUCUCUUUCUGCCAUAAAUAAAAAUAGCUGUGGGCUGUCACCUUGCCUUCUGCCUUUGUCUGUCAUCCCUCCCUCUGCGUGCUGAGGAUAAUUCUGACUUUUCCUUCACCUGCUCGCUGACACCUUGUCACUCUCUCCUCCCACCUUCAAAUAUGCUCGGAUCCCGUUUUUAUCAUGUAACACACGGGUUUGUCCUUGGGACCCAGUUUCCUAUCUUUCCACCAGGGAUCUUGAGUUUCCUCGGGACGGAGACCUUGUACAACUCUGGACGUUUUCCCAUCUCCCAUGUCAGACGGGCUGUGCCAACCACACCUUUGAUCGAGUAAUCACAGGGAGAAUGAUUAAUGUCUGUGGAGCGUCUUCCUGAGGGCUUGGGUCUCGGUGGCUGCCGGUACCCUCCAUUUCCUUGAAGAAACGAGGAAGCUUUGCCCGGAGAGGUCACGUGGUUCCCCCGUCACACAGCUGGUACGCAGUGGAGGCAGAGCCUGAACUCAGAGCCCUGUUCUCUAAAUCCCGACCUGUCUGCCCUGGGCAGGUGUUUCCAGGUGUGGGCUGAACCAGAUGACGUGUUUCAAGGGGCCCGGCUGACACAGCGUUCACUGACAGCGAAUCACCCAAGAGGAUGAUUCUUCUCGUCCCACGUUUAGUCAUAUUGCAAGGGGACAUCUCAAGCUAGUAGGUCAGACAAACCUCAACAUUUUUUAUUGCGAUGAGAUGUAUGGAAAAUUAACCAUUUAAACUAUUUUGAAGUGUACAGUUACACAGUCCCUGUCCCAGGGACUCUCUUCCCCAGCCUCAACUGCCUUCUGGAAUCUGGCAAAUGUCUCCACCGUCUGUCACCAGAACCUCGUCUUCUUCUCACACUGAGCUUCUGACCCCAGUAGACGCGAAACCCCCUUCCGCAGCCCUGGCCUCUCUCUGCUUUCUGUCUCUGUGAGUUGGUCCAGUCCGGAGACGAACCGACCCUGCUGACGGGCUCAGAGCCUGGAGCAGGCCAGUGCCGAGAAUGGAACGAAGCAGUAUUGGUUUUGUUUUCAUUGUGUGGCUCCAUAACCCCUUAUCUUAAAACCCUUGAGAUUAGCGUGUUUCUUUUUUUCUUUUUUCCUUUUCUUGGAGACAGAAUCUCCCUCUGUUGCCCAGGCUGGAGUGCAGUGGCGCAGUCCUAGCUCACUGCAGUCUUGACCUCCCCGUCUUAAGUGAUCCUCCCACCUUAGCCUCCUGCGUAGCUGAGGCCACAGGCGUGUGCCCCCGCACCCGGCUGUUUUGCUUUUUUUUAAAAGCCAUGGCCUCCCUAUGUUGCCCAGGCUGGGUUUGAACUCCUGGGCUCAGAUGAUCCUUGCCGCUCUGUUUCUCUUUUUUUUUUUUGACUUCAGAAAGUGAACAUGAU
Molecule: long non-coding RNA, 3452 nt
Organism: Aotus nancymaae (Ma's night monkey)
Lineage: Eukaryota; Metazoa; Chordata; Mammalia; Primates; Aotidae
Source: Ensembl